This is a small nucleolar RNA of Otolemur garnettii (small-eared galago), 65 nucleotides long. Lineage: Eukaryota; Metazoa; Chordata; Mammalia; Primates; Galagidae. The record is from Ensembl.
CUGUAAUGAUCUUGAUCAAAUGUCUGACCUAAAAUGAGCACGUGGACAAAUGUAAUGCUAAAGAA